Molecule: long non-coding RNA, 434 nt
Filed under: Populus trichocarpa (black cottonwood)
Lineage: Eukaryota; Viridiplantae; Streptophyta; Magnoliopsida; Malpighiales; Salicaceae
Description: long non-coding RNA (PTRI_LNC001521)
Source: RNAcentral
GCACUAGGUCCAGGGGCCUCCGUUGGUGGUGCUGGUGGGCUCAACAAUGCCGGACCAGGAGCUGGUGCUUGGUGCUUCUUUGGCUUCUUUUUACUAUGAGAAGGAGCAGGGACCUCUGCGGUCGGUGGAGCAACUGGAGUGCUUGCCGGUGGAGCACUAGUUGGGGAAGCAACAGGCUCAGGAGACGGAGGAGAUUUUGCUGGUGGAGAACUAACAGGAACUGGAGUCGGUGGGGAGCUAACUGGAGUCGCGGAUGGAGGUGGUGUGGCCAAUGGAGCCGCAACUGGAACUGAAACCGUCUGUUUCGGUGGAGAAGCUGCUGGUGUUGCCGCAGGUGGUGAUGAUACGGGAGCUGGUGUUGUAGGUUUUGUUGGUGCUGCUACUGGCACGGCAGGAGUUGUUGGAGUCGCGGGAGUUGAUGUCGGUGUCGCAGC